RNAcentral lists this ribosomal RNA (1471 nucleotides) under Lacticaseibacillus rhamnosus. RNAcentral describes it as "bacterial SSU rRNA". It matches the Rfam family "Bacterial small subunit ribosomal RNA". Lineage: Bacteria; Bacillati; Bacillota; Bacilli; Lactobacillales; Lactobacillaceae. The record is from RNAcentral.
CUGUGGGGGGGCCUAAUACAUGCAAGUCGAACGAGUUCUGAUUAUUGAAAGGUGCUUGCAUCUUGAUUUAAUUUUGAACGAGUGGCGGACGGGUGAGUAACACGUGGGUAACCUGCCCUUAAGUGGGGGAUAACAUUUGGAAACAGAUGCUAAUACCGCAUAAAUCCAAGAACCGCAUGGUUCUUGGCUGAAAGAUGGCGUAAGCUAUCGCUUUUGGAUGGACCCGCGGCGUAUUAGCUAGUUGGUGAGGUAACGGCUCACCAAGGCAAUGAUACGUAGCCGAACUGAGAGGUUGAUCGGCCACAUUGGGACUGAGACACGGCCCAAACUCCUACGGGAGGCAGCAGUAGGGAAUCUUCCACAAUGGACGCAAGUCUGAUGGAGCAACGCCGCGUGAGUGAAGAAGGCUUUCGGGUCGUAAAACUCUGUUGUUGGAGAAGAAUGGUCGGCAGAGUAACUGUUGUCGGCGUGACGGUAUCCAACCAGAAAGCCACGGCUAACUACGUGCCAGCAGCCGCGGUAAUACGUAGGUGGCAAGCGUUAUCCGGAUUUAUUGGGCGUAAAGCGAGCGCAGGCGGUUUUUUAAGUCUGAUGUGAAAGCCCUCGGCUUAACCGAGGAAGUGCAUCGGAAACUGGGAAACUUGAGUGCAGAAGAGGACAGUGGAACUCCAUGUGUAGCGGUGAAAUGCGUAGAUAUAUGGAAGAACACCAGUGGCGAAGGCGGCUGUCUGGUCUGUAACUGACGCUGAGGCUCGAAAGCAUGGGUAGCGAACAGGAUUAGAUACCCUGGUAGUCCAUGCCGUAAACGAUGAAUGCUAGGUGUUGGAGGGUUUCCGCCCUUCAGUGCCGCAGCUAACGCAUUAAGCAUUCCGCCUGGGGAGUACGACCGCAAGGUUGAAACUCAAAGGAAUUGACGGGGGCCCGCACAAGCGGUGGAGCAUGUGGUUUAAUUCGAAGCAACGCGAAGAACCUUACCAGGUCUUGACAUCUUUUGAUCACCUGAGAGAUCAGGUUUCCCCUUCGGGGGCAAAAUGACAGGUGGUGCAUGGUUGUCGUCAGCUCGUGUCGUGAGAUGUUGGGUUAAGUCCCGCAACGAGCGCAACCCUUAUGACUAGUUGCCAGCAUUUAGUUGGGCACUCUAGUAAGACUGCCGGUGACAAACCGGAGGAAGGUGGGGAUGACGUCAAAUCAUCAUGCCCCUUAUGACCUGGGCUACACACGUGCUACAAUGGAUGGUACAACGAGUUGCGAGACCGCGAGGUCAAGCUAAUCUCUUAAAGCCAUUCUCAGUUCGGACUGUAGGCUGCAACUCGCCUACACGAAGUCGGAAUCGCUAGUAAUCGCGGAUCAGCACGCCGCGGUGAAUACGUUCCCGGGCCUUGUACACACCGCCCGUCACACCAUGAGAGUUUGUAACACCCGAAGCCGGUGGCGUAACCCUUUUAGGGAGCGAGCCGUCUAAGGGGGACCA